This 74-nucleotide transfer RNA is filed under the name Loxodonta africana (African savanna elephant). It matches the Rfam family "tRNA". Rfam says of the family: Transfer RNA (tRNA) molecules are approximately 80 nucleotides in length. Their secondary structure includes four short double-helical elements and three loops (D, anti-codon, and T loops). Lineage: Eukaryota; Metazoa; Chordata; Mammalia; Proboscidea; Elephantidae. The record is from Rfam by way of RNAcentral.
GCACUGGUGGUUCAAGUGGUUUAGAAUUUUUGCCUUUCAUGUGAAAGAUCUAGAUUCAAUUUCAGACCAAUGCA